GGGAAAUCUCUUUCUACUGGGAAUUCAAAAAGUUUUUUUUUACGACAAACAAAUAAGUCAUAA
Molecule: transfer RNA, 63 nt
Filed under: Morina alba
Lineage: Eukaryota; Viridiplantae; Streptophyta; Magnoliopsida; Dipsacales; Caprifoliaceae
Also listed under: 2 other names
Description: Acanthocalyx alba partial tRNA-Leu
Source: RNAcentral